This 776-nucleotide ribosomal RNA is filed under the name uncultured Neocallimastigales. RNAcentral's name for it is "partial large subunit ribosomal RNA". It matches the Rfam family "Eukaryotic large subunit ribosomal RNA", at positions 23 to 628 of the family's 3401-position model. The record is from RNAcentral. Lineage: Eukaryota; Fungi; Neocallimastigomycota; Neocallimastigomycetes; Neocallimastigales.
AGAGAGAGACAUGCGCGCAUAUCAAUAAGCGGAGGAAAAGAAACUAACAAGGAUUCCCUUAGUAACGGCGAGUGAAGCGGGAAGAGCUCAAAUUUGAAAUCUUCAAGGUUUUACCUUGACGAAUUGUAGUUUAAAGAAGUGUUUUCUGCUGAAGUUUUGGUAAAAGUUCUUUGGAAUAGGACAUCAUAGAGGGUGAGAAUCCCGUAUUUGACCAUUAUUUUCAGCUUUGUGAUACACUUUCAAAGAGUCGGAUUGUUUGGGAAUGCAGUCCAAAGAUGGGUGGUAAAUUUCAUCUAAAGCUAAAUAUUGGCGAGAGGACCGAUAGCGAACAAGUACCGUGAGGGAAAGAUGAAAAGAACUUUGAAAGGAGAGUUAAACAGUACGUGAAAUUGUCAAAAGGGAAGCGUUUGACACCAGUGUUGUUUAGUUGAAAAUCAAUUCAAUAGUUUUUGAUUCUAAGUAGUAUUGACUUCAUCAGCUUGCUGCUUUCUUCUCAGAAAUUAUUGAAUGCACUUUUCAGUUAACAAGUCAACAUCAAUUUCUUUUGUUGUAAAAGGGUAAGAGGAAGGUGGCUUGCGCUUCGGCUCAAGUGUUUAUAGCCUUUUAUCUCUGCAAUCGGAGAGAUUGAGGUCUGCAGCGUAGAUCCUUCGGGGUUAGAUACAUUGGUGCUAAGCUAUAGCCUUGUAUAGACAACUUGUUGACUAUGCUCAGUCAUGUAGCUUACUCGCUGAUGCUAUUUUACCUACGCUUAGGAUGUUGAGUCGUAGAGCACGCAG